RNAcentral lists this ribosomal RNA (253 nucleotides) under uncultured bacterium. Its description in RNAcentral is "partial 16S ribosomal RNA". It matches the Rfam family "Bacterial small subunit ribosomal RNA", at positions 524 to 776 of the family's 1533-position model. The record is from RNAcentral.
UACGUAGGUGGCAAGCGUUGUCCGGAUUUACUGGGCGUAAAGAGCGCGCAGGCGGUCGUUCAAGUCGGGUGUGAAAGCCCCCGGCUCAACUGGGGAGGGUCACGCGAUACUGAUCGACUCGAAGGCAGGAGAGGGUAGUGGAAUUCCCGGUGUAGUGGUGAAAUGCGCAGAGAUCGGGAGGAACACCCGUAGCGAAGGCGGUUCUCUGGGCCGGUACUGACGCUGAGGAGCGAAAGCGUGGGGAGCAAACAGG